AUAAGGGCGCACGGUGGAUGCCUUGGCACUAGGAGCCGAUGAAGGACGGGACUAACACCGAUAUGCUUUGGGGAGCUGUACGUAAGCUAUGAUCCAGAGAUUUCCGAAUGGGGGAACCCAGCAUCUUUAAUAGGAUGUUACGAUUGUGUGAAUACAUAGCACAUUCGAGGUAGACGCAGAGAACUGAAACAUCUAAGUACCUGCAGGAAGAGAAAGAAAAUUCGAUUCCCUGAGUAGCGGCGAGCGAAACGGGAAAAGCCCAAACCAACAAGCUUGCUUGUUGGGGUUGUAGGACUCCAAUAUGGUCGUUCUUUCAGAUAGUCGAAUGACUUGGAAAAGUCAGUCAAAGAGGGUAAAAACCCCGUAGACGAAAUGUGGAAGACACCUAGGAGGAUCCUGAGUACGGCGGAACACGAGAAAUUCCGUCGGAAUCCGGGAGGACCAUCUCCCAAGGCUAAAUACUCCCUAGUGACCGAUAGUGAACCAGUACCGUGAGGGAAAGGUGAAAAGCACCCCGGAAGGGGAGUGAAAUAGAACCUGAAACCGUGUGCCUACAACAAGUCAAAGCCCGUUAAUGGGUGAUGGCGUGCCUUUUGUAGAAUGAACCGGCGAGUUACGAUUGCAUGCGAGGUUAAGUUGAAGAGACGGAGCCGCAGCGAAAGCGAGUCUGAAUAGGGCGUUUGAGUAUGUAGUCGUAGACCCGAAACCAUGUGAUCUACCCAUGUCCAGGUUGAAGGUGCGGUAAAACGCACUGGAGGACCGAACCCACGUACGUUGAAAAGUGCGGGGAUGAGGUGUGGGUAGCGGAGAAAUUCCAAACGAACUUGGAGAUAGCUGGUUCUCUCCGAAAUAGCUUUAGGGCUAGCCUCGGAAUUGAGAAUGAUGGAGGUAGAGCACUGUUUGGACUAGGGGCCCAUCUCGGGUUACCGAAUUCAGAUAAACUCCGAAUGCCAUUCAUUCAUAUCCGGGAGUCAGACUGUGAGUGAUAAGAUCCAUAGUCGAAAGGGAAACAGCCCAGACCACCAGCUAAGGUCCCAAAAUAUAUGUUAAGUGGAAAAGGAUGUGGGGUUGCACAGACAACUAGGAUGUUGGCUUAGAAGCAGCCACCAUUUAAAGAGUGCGUAAUAGCUCACUAGUCGAGUGACCCUGCGCCGAAAAUGUACCGGGGCUAAACAUAUUACCGAAGCUGUGGAGUACACCUUUAGGUGUAUUGGUAGGAGAGCGUUCUAAGGGCGUCGAAGGCAGAUCGUGAGGACUGCUGGAGCGCUUAGAAGUGAGAAUGCCGGUAUGAGUAGCGAAAGACAGGUGAGAAUCCUGUCCACCGAAUGACUAAGGUUUCCUGGGGAAGGCUCGUCCGCCCAGGGUUAGUCGGGACCUAAGCCGAGGCCGAUAGGCGUAGGCGAUGGAUAACAGGUUGAUAUUCCUGUACCCGUUGUUUUUGUUUGAGCAAUGGAGGGACGCAGGAGGCUAAGGAAUGCAGACGAUCGGAAAUGUCUGUCCAAGCAGUAAGUCUGAAGAGGAGUCAAAUGCUUCUUUUCUUAAGGACAAGCUGUGAUGGGGAGGGAAAUAAUAGUACCGAAGUUCCUGAUGUCACACUGCCGAGAAAAGCUUCUAGUGAGAAAACAGCGGCCCGUACCGCAAACCGACACAGGUAGUCGAGGAGAGAAUCCUAAGGUGAGCGAGAGAACUCUCGUUAAGGAACUCGGCAAAAUGACCCCGUAACUUCGGGAGAAGGGGUGCUGAUCAUACGAUCAGCCGCAGUGAAUAGGCCCAAGCGACUGUUUAUCAAAAACACAGGUCUCUGCAAAAUCGUAAGAUGAAGUAUAGGGGCUGACGCCUGCCCGGUGCUGGAAGGUUAAGAGGAGUGCUUAGCGCAAGCGAAGGUACGAAUUGAAGCCCCAGUAAACGGCGGCCGUAACUAUAACGGUCCUAAGGUAGCGAAAUUCCUUGUCGGGUAAGUUCCGACCCGCACGAAAGGCGUAACGAUUUGGGCACUGUCUCAACGAGAGACUCGGUGAAAUUUUAGUACCUGUGAAGAUGCAGGUUACCCGCGACAGGACGGAAAGACCCCAUGGAGCUUUACUGUAGUUUGAUAUUGAGUGUCUGUACCGCAUGUACAGGAUAGGUAGGAGCCGUAGAAAUCGGAACGCUAGUUUCGAUGGAGGCGCUGGUGGGAUACUACCCCUGCGUUAUG
This 2194-nucleotide ribosomal RNA is filed under the name Enterococcus faecium. RNAcentral's name for it is "partial 23S ribosomal RNA". It matches the Rfam family "Bacterial large subunit ribosomal RNA", at positions 12 to 2215 of the family's 2925-position model. The record is from RNAcentral. Lineage: Bacteria; Bacillati; Bacillota; Bacilli; Lactobacillales; Enterococcaceae.